This 429-nucleotide ribosomal RNA is filed under the name uncultured Uliginosibacterium sp. RNAcentral describes it as "bacterial SSU rRNA". It matches the Rfam family "Bacterial small subunit ribosomal RNA", at positions 355 to 776 of the family's 1533-position model. Lineage: Bacteria; Pseudomonadati; Pseudomonadota; Betaproteobacteria; Rhodocyclales; Zoogloeaceae. The record is from RNAcentral.
UGGGGAAUUUUGGACAAUGGGGGAAACCCUGAUCCAGCCAUGCCGCGUGAGUGAAGAAGGCCUUCGGGUUGUAAAGCUCUUUCAGACGGAAAGAAAAGGUCUCGGUGAAUAAUCGAGGUCGAUGACGGUACCGUCAGAAGAAGCACCGGCUAACUACGUGCCAGCAGCCGCGGUAAUACGUAGGGUGCGAGCGUUAAUCGGAAUUACUGGGCGUAAAGCGUGCGCAGGCGGUUGUGCAAGACAGGUGUGAAAUCCCCGGGCUUAACCUGGGAACUGCGCUUGUGACUGCACGACUAGAGUACGGCAGAGGGGGGUGGAAUUCCUGGUGUAGCAGUGAAAUGCGUAGAGAUCAGGAGGAACAUCGAUGGCGAAGGCAGCCCCCUGGGCCUGUACUGACGCUCAUGCACGAAAGCGUGGGGAGCAAACAGG